RNAcentral lists this ribosomal RNA (461 nucleotides) under uncultured bacterium. RNAcentral describes it as "partial 16S ribosomal RNA". It matches the Rfam family "Bacterial small subunit ribosomal RNA", at positions 29 to 523 of the family's 1533-position model. The record is from RNAcentral.
AACGAACGCUGGCGGCACGCCUAACACAUGCAAGUCGAACGAAGCAUAAGAGCUUGCUCUUAUGACUGAGUGGCGCACGGGUGAGUAACACGUGGGAAUCUGCCUAUUGGUGGGGAAUAACUUUUGGAAACGAAAGCUAAUACCGCAUAAGCCCUAAGGGGGAAAGAUUUAUCGCCAAUAGAUUAGCUCGCGCUAGAUUAGCUAGUUGAUGAGGUAAGAGCUCACCAAGGCUACGAUCUAUAGCUGGUCUGGGAGGAUGGUCAGCCACACUGGGACUGAGACACGGCCCAGACUCCUACGGGAGGCAGCAGUGGGGAAUAUUGGACAAUGGGGAAACCCUGAUCCAGCGAUGCCGCGUGAGUGAAGAAGGCCUUCGGGUUGUAAAGCUCUUUCAGAGGGGAUGAUAAUGACGGUACCCUCAGAAGAAGCACCGGCUAACUUCGUGCCAGCAGCCGCAGUAA